GAUGAAGAACGUAGCGAAACGCGAUAAGUAAUGUGAAUUGCAGAAUUCAGUGAAUCAUCGAAUCUUUGAACGCACAUUGCGCCCCCUGGUAUUCCGGGGGGCAUGCCUGUUCGAGCGUCAUUACAACCCUCAAGCUCUGCUUGGUAUUGGGCCCCGCCAGUUCUGGCGGGCCCUAAAGUCAGUGGCGGUGCCUUCCGGCUCCGAGCGUAGUAAUUCUUCUCGCUCUGGAGACCCGGUUGUGUGCUUGCCAACAACCCCCAAUUUUUUAAGGUUGACCUCGGAUCAGGUAGGGAUACCCGCUGAACUUAAGCAUAUCAAUAAGCGGAGGA
RNAcentral lists this unclassified non-coding RNA (329 nucleotides) under soil metagenome. Its description in RNAcentral is "partial contains 5.8S ribosomal RNA, internal transcribed spacer 2, and large subunit ribosomal RNA". The stretch from base 1 to 120 matches the Rfam family "5.8S ribosomal RNA", at positions 35 to 154 of the family's 154-position model. The record is from RNAcentral.